RNAcentral lists this ribosomal RNA (468 nucleotides) under uncultured bacterium. RNAcentral's name for it is "partial 16S ribosomal RNA". It matches the Rfam family "Bacterial small subunit ribosomal RNA", at positions 28 to 507 of the family's 1533-position model. The record is from RNAcentral.
GACGAACGCUGGCGGCGUGCUUAACACAUGCAAGUCGAACGGAAAGGCCCUGCUUUUGUGGGGUGCUCGAGUGGCGAACGGGUGAGUAACACGUGAGUAACCUGCCCUUGACUUUGGGAUAACUUCAGGAAACUGGGGCUAAUACCGGAUAGGAGCUCCUGCUGCAUGGUGGGGGUUGGAAAGUUUCGGCGGUUGGGGAUGGACUCGCGGCUUAUCAGCUUGUUGGUGGGGUAGUGGCUUACCAAGGCUUUGACGGGUAGCCGGCCUGAGAGGGUGACCGGCCACAUUGGGACUGAGGAACGGCCCAGACUCCUACGGGAGGCAGCAGUGGGGAAUAUUGCACAAUGGGCGGAAGCCGGAUGCAGCAACGCCGCGUGCGGGAUGACGGCCUUCGGGUUGUAAACCGCUUUCGCCUGUGACGAAGCGUGAGUGACGGUAAUGGGUAAAGAAGCACCGGCUAACUACGUG